AUUGGAGUUAGGAAAUUCUCAAACACACUCUGAAACCACCAUGAACCUUGGCCUGGUCGUCUCACUUCACCCCUGUGCUUUUCAAGAUGAAGCCAUAACGAUUGUUUAGAUACUAUUGGAGAUUUUUGGAAAUCAGCACAUUCACCAAGACCUAGAAGCAAAUACACUGGUCAAUGAAUAAUUUAUGAUGGGGAAACGAUCACACAAAGAACACAGAAAGAAGAACUGGCGGCUCUCAGUGCUCUCUGCUCAGCCAGGACUCCUUGCCAUCUUCUGUUUGCAC
RNAcentral lists this long non-coding RNA (283 nucleotides) under Gallus gallus (chicken). The record is from RNAcentral. Lineage: Eukaryota; Metazoa; Chordata; Aves; Galliformes; Phasianidae.